CAAAUACUUACUUCUGAAAAUGGAUGAAUUCCUUUUCUUUGGAAAAUAUAGCUCUUAAAAUCUGCAAAGUGGUAGGAUUAUCUAAAGCUAGCAUGAAGUCUCUACUUAGUCCCUUCAACCAUGUAUAUCAACUCACCUGAAAAAAUCUAAUAUCUGACAAGUUUUCUAGAUCAAAGACCGAAUGCCUCUUUUGUGCAUCUUUUCCAUUUAAAUAGAAAAACUCUGUACCUUCUCUCCUCCGUCAGAAUAUUUACCUCCCUAAUGUAUUAAUUACAUAUAUGCUAAUAUACAUCUAAUAUAGUAGACCAUGAGUGCAAUUAGUAGACUAGAUCCCAUAAGCAGCUGUUCUUGUCUUUUGCUAGCAGAUCAGAUCUCAUAAUCAGUUGCUGCCCAUGACUUCCAUAAGCAGCUGUUCUUGACUUUUACUUUUGCUAGCAGGCUGUCCUUGACUUCCAUAAGCAGCUGUUCUUGACUUUUGCAUUUAGUAGACCAGAUCCCAACUACUGCCCUUGAUAUCCCCCCUCAAAUUGAUGCUGGUGGAUCAAAAAGCAUCAAUUUGUCAACCAGAAAAUUGUGUCUAUGACGGGAGAGAGCUUUAGUAAAUAUAUCAGCAGUUUGGAGAUCAGUGGUAAUAUGAGGAAGAGAAAUAACAUGAUCAUCAUAUGCUUCACGGAUAGAGUGACAAUCAACUUCAAUAUGUUUUGUACGCUCAUGGAAUACAGGAUUAGCAGCAAUGUGAAUAGCGCUAGUAUUAUCGGCAUGAAGGGGAGUAGGUGCAAGUUGGGGAAACCCAAGCUCACCUAAGAGGCCUCGAAGCCAAAUGAUCUCAGAACAUCCAGAGGACAUAGCACGAUACUCUGACUCAGUAGAGGAUUUAGACACCCUAUCUUGCUUUUUGCUUUUCCAAGAAAUAAGAGAAUUUCCAAGAAACAUGCACCAACCAGUAAUUGAUCGUCUAGUAUCUGAACACCCUGCCCAGUCAGCGUCGCUAUAGGCUACCAAAUGAAUAGGAGAAUUUUUGGAGAAGAAAAGACCACGAGAGGAAGUGCCUAGUAAAUAGCGAAUAAUGCGACGAACAGCAGCUAGAUGGAGAUGCCUAGGCGUCUGCAUAAAUUGACUAACUUGUUGAACAGCAAAUGAAAUAUCAGGCCGAGUAAUAGUUAAAUAGUUAAGACUUCCCACCAAUUGCCGAUAGAGAGAGGGAUCUGAGAGAAAAUCACCCUCAUCACGGCGAUAUUUAACAUUUACUUCCAAGGGAGUAUCAACAGACCGACCAUCUUGAAGACCUGCCAAAGCAAUUAAUUCCUGGAUGUAUUUAUGUUGAUGUAAGAAAAUACCAGCUGAGGUAGAGUGCACUUCUAGGCCCAAAAAAUAUUGUAGAGGACCUAAAUCUUUCAUAUGAAAAGAACGUUGAAGAUGCUCUUGAAGUUGAGAGAUUAAUGCAGAGUCAUUUCCUGUGAUAACAAUAUCAUCAACAUAAACCAGAAGUAAAACCAGUCCCUUAUCAGUCUUGCGAAGAAACAAAGAGGAGUCAUACUGGCUCUGAACAAAUGAGAAGCUAAUAAGGGUAGAACGGAACUUAUCAAACCAAGCCCGUGGAGCUUGUUUUAAGCCAUAGAGUGAACGUUUUAGCUUACAAACAUCAGAAGAAGAUGUAAAAAAUAACCCUGAUGGUGGAGUCAUAUAAAUAUCUUCUUGAAGAUCGCCAUGUAAAAAGGCAUUCUUUACAUCCAUCUGUCGCAAUGACCAGCCUGUAGAAGCAGCAAUAGCUAGAACAAGUCUAACUGUUGUCAUCUUUGCCACAGGAGCAAAGGUCUCCUCAUAAUGUACUCCAUACUUUUGCCGAUUACCAAGAGCUACUAAUCGUGCCUUAUACCUUUCAAGUGAGCCAUCAGAUCUCAAUUUAACAGAAAAUACCCAUUUACAACCAAUGGGUUUAACACCAUCGGGACAAGGAACAAGAUCCCAAGUAUGAUUCUCCUGAAGAGCUUGAAGUUCCUCAUUCAUAGCUUUCACCCAACAUGCUUGUUUAGCUGCCUGUAAAUAGGAUGUAGGAACUGUAGUGUCAGUUAUAGUGGCAGAAAAACCAUACCGAUCAGGCGGACGACUAAGACGUAGGGACCUUCGAAGAGUGGUUGGAGCAAGGACUGGAUUAGUGUCAAGAAGAGGUUGUGAUGAAGAAGCCUGUCGUCUCUGAUAAACAAUCCCAGGUUUAAAUCGAUCAACUGGUGGAGCAAUAUCAUCAAAGUUAGGAAGAACAACACCUUCAGACGAGGAACCAUGGUAUGGAAAGUAGUGCUCAUUUUCAAAGAAAAUCACAUUUCUAGAAAUGUGUAGAUGAUUAGCAAUAGCAUCAUAACACAAAAAUCCUUUAUGAGUUGUACUAUAACCCAUGAAAGCACAUUUUACAGAUUGAGCUGUAAGUUUGUGACGCUCAUGAGGAGGUAAGUGAACAAAGCAAACACAUCCGAAUGUGUGUAGAUUGCCAUAAUCAGGAUGUACACCAAAAAGACGAUAAUAAGGAGAAUCAAAAUUCAAUUGUUGAGAAGGUAGACGAUUGAUUAAAUAAACUGCAGUGGAUAAAGCUUCCACCCAAAAUUUAGAUGGAACCGAAGACUGCAAGAGUAAGGUUCGUACCAUAUCCAACAAAUGGCGAUGCUUACGUUCAGCCACCCCAUUCUGUUGAGGGGUAUAAGGACAUGAUCGUUGAGAUAAAAUACCUCUCUGUUGCAAAAAUGCUUGAAAGGCAUGUGACAUAUAUUCCCCGCCAUUGUCAGAGUGUAAAACUUUAAUGCAAGUAGAAAAUUGUGUUUCUACAUAAGCUACAAAUUUCUUAAAAACAGCAAAUACUUCAGCUUUAGUACGCAAAAAAUAUACCCAUGUGAAACGACUAUAGUCAUCAAUGAAUGUCACAAAAUAUUUAUAUUGUGCAUGUGAAACAACAGGAGUAAUACCCCAAACAUCACUAUGAAUGAUCUCAAAACUUGUAUUAGCAUGACCACCAUGACUAGGAAAAGGUAAUAUUUUACUUUUCCCUAGUCUACAAGUAGAACAAUCAAAAGACAAUUUAUGAUUAAAACACUGAUCCUUGCUCCCCAGAAAAUCAUGCUUUAUUAAAUGAGAUAAAAUGACAUUAUUUGGAUGACCCAAUCGUUGAUGCCAUACUUCAACUUUAUUGUCAACAACCAUAGAAGCCAAAGACAAACUACUUGGAACUGAAAAUUGCAAAGGAAAUAGUCUGCCCACUUUAGGCCCCUUCGCGAUCACCUUCCCCGACACCUGGUCCUGCACAAGACAACCAUCACGAGAGAACCGUACAUCACAGUUAUUAUCCACCAUCUGACCAACAGAAAUCAAACUAGUAGACAACCCUGGAGAGACAAAUACAUGACGAAAAGAAGGUCCAAUAUCACCAAUGGCUGUAAUUGGAAGAUUACUGCCGUUAGCAAUCUGAAUAUUUUGUGUACCAGUAUAUUGCCGUAGAUUAUGUAGUGAUGCAGAUGAACCAGUCAUAUGAUUUGAUGCUCCAGAAUCAACUAACCAAGGAGUAGAAACAAUUUUACCUUGACCUUGAAGUCCAAGAGUAGAAAAUGCUGAAAGAAUCAUUUGUUGAACCAUUUCUGGAGUAAGUGUUGUGGCUGUGGAUGUAGAACCAAUAGUGUUAGAGUCUUGGACAGCACCUUGAAAGGCUUGGACUCUUCGAUUCUCAGGGCGUGUAGGACAGUCCUUGAUAAUGUGUCCAGUUUGCUUACAAUAAUUGCAAAAUUUCUUUCCACAAUUGCGUGCAAUAUGCCCAAGUUCCUUGCAACUAUAGCACUGUACUUGUCCCUUUCCGCGAUUCUUCCCUUGAGCAGCAUAGGCAAUAUUGACAACUUCAGAUAUCUCCUUUGAUGUACCUAUGAUAGUUUGUGUAGCCAUUCUCUGUUCUUCUCGCAACAAGUCACCAAGACAUACGUCUAAAGAAGGAACUGGGUUUCUAUUUAACAAUCCAGCUCUAAUCGCCUCAAAUUCAGGCCUCAGUUUCAUUAGAAACUGGUCACGCUUACUAUCUUCGUGAACCGCUUGAAUACCGGCUAAGGCUUCGCUUGGUACCUUAGAAUAGAUUAUACCAGAGUAUUCACUCCAUAAAUUAAGAAAUCCAGAAUAAUACUGCUCAAUAGAGAGAUUACCUUGGCUACAUGUACUAAUUUCCAAUUCAAGCUGAAAUCUUCUUGCUGUAUUAUCUUGAUGAUAUACACGCUUCAAAUGAUCCCACAUCUCCUUUGCUGUAUUAAAGGAGCGUAAAUUGUUCACCAUAUGAGCUUCAAUAGAUGCUAGAAUCCAAGAAAUAAUUCUAGCAUCCUUUGCCUCCCAUUGACUAAUUUCCUUUCCAUCUCUAGGUGCUGUAGAAGACCCGUCAAUAUGACUCCAAAGCUCUUUGCCUUUUAGAAACAUCCUAAAUUGAAAUUCCCAUGCCGCAUAAUUUUUUCCAGUGAACUUGAUGGACAAAGAUUCCGUAUGUAUUUUUCCCAAAGAGUUUUCCAUAGACAUUCUUUCAAAAAAAACAAAGAUCUGAAUUACAAGAAAAGCUGCCAACCACAAUAUGAUUGACCCAAAAGGAUAUCUUGAAACCAAAUGAUUGAUCAAAAUAAUCAACCCAAGAAGGAUAACAACUCAGAAAGUUUGGAAAGGCUGAGAAAUUCAAAUAACUGGCUCUGAUACCAUGACAAGUUUUCUAGAUCAAAGACCGAAUGCCUCUUUUGUGCAUCUUUUCCAUUUAAAUAGAAAAACUCUGUACCUUCUCUCCUCCGUCAGAAUAUCUACCUCCCUAAUGUAUUAAUUACAUAUAUGCUAAUAUACAUCUAAUAUAGUAGACCAUGAGUGCAAUUAGUAGACUAGAUCCCAUAAGCAGCUGUUCUUGUCUUUUGCUAGCAGAUCAGAUCUCAUAAUCAGUUGCUGCCCAUGACUUCCAUAAGCAGCUGUUCUUGACUUUU
Molecule: long non-coding RNA, 4973 nt
Filed under: Coffea arabica (coffee)
Lineage: Eukaryota; Viridiplantae; Streptophyta; Magnoliopsida; Gentianales; Rubiaceae
Description: long non-coding RNA (CARA_LNC007045)
Source: RNAcentral